Molecule: ribosomal RNA, 490 nt
Filed under: uncultured bacterium
Lineage: Bacteria
Description: partial 16S ribosomal RNA
Rfam family: Bacterial small subunit ribosomal RNA
Source: RNAcentral
AUUGAACGCUGGCGGCAGGCCUAACACAUGCAAGUCGAACGGUAACAGGAAGAAGCUUGCUUCUUUGCUGACGAGUGGCGGACGGGUGAGUAAUGUCUGGUAAACUGCCUGAUGGAGGGGGAUAACUACUGGAAACGGUAGCUAAUACCGCAUAACGUCGCAAGACCAAAGAGGGGGACCUUCGGGCCUCUUGCCAUCGGAUGUGCCCAGAUGGGAUUAGCUAGUAGGUGGGGUAACGGCUCACCUAGGCGACGAUCCCUAGCUGGUCUUAGAGGAUGACCUGCCACACUGGAACUGAGACACGGUCCAGACUCCUACGGGAGGCAGCAGUGGGUAAUAUUGCACAAUGGGCGCAAGCCUGAUACAGCCAUGCCGCGUGUAUGAAGAAGGCCUUCGGGUUGGAAAGUACUUUCAGCGGGGAGGAAGGGAGUAAAGUUGAUACCUUUGCUCAUUGACGUUACCCGCAGAAGAAGCACCGGCUAACUCCGUG